AAUAUAUGACGCCGUUGACUUUUAGUCCAACAUUUGACCAUUCGUCUUAUUCAAAAAAAUUACGUAAUUAUUAUUUAUUUUAUUGUGACUUGAUUCAUCAUCAAAUGUUCUUUAAGCAUGACAUAAAUAUUUUCAUAUUUUCACAUAAAUUUUGAAUAAAACGAAUGAUCAAACGUUGGUCAAAAAUUCAACGACG
This 196-nucleotide microRNA precursor is filed under the name Oryza nivara. Its description in RNAcentral is "MIR812 microRNA precursor family". It matches the Rfam family "MIR812 microRNA precursor family". The record is from Rfam by way of RNAcentral. Lineage: Eukaryota; Viridiplantae; Streptophyta; Magnoliopsida; Poales; Poaceae.